CGGGAAUCAUGUCGCAGCCGCACUUUUCACGCCGAGCGCAGCCGUCGUGCGGUGGUUUAACGCAGAGCCGGAGUGAGCGGUCGACGCGGCGCAGGGAAGUCAGCUUCGCGUUGCGGCUCAGCGAACCGGUUAAACCUGUGUAAAGGCUGUGCGGACGCACUACCAAUGUGAGGCGCACUUCACUCUCGGUGGCUGAAGAUGGAAACCGGACUGAAUCUCUUCACUGCAGCCGGAUGAAACCGAAGCUCCUGCUCCGCUUUGACACUUUUAACAAGCACUAUUAUGUCAAGAGACAACGACGGUCCACUAUUGUAGUUAAACAGGUGAACCAGAUAAACAGGUUAUAGCAGGUCUGCAGGUUAGCUUUAAUUACAGAACGUAGCCUACGGCUCACCUGCCCCCUAGAAACGAUGACAGCAAGUGUUACAAGUGAUUGUUGUUGCAGCCUCAUGCUUCAACACAAGAACUGAAACUGAAAGAUUUAGUCCCUACAUUAUGAAGGAUGGACGAGUUGAUGGCUGCAUGGUGCCAGUGUCAGAUAAAUCUGUAAUUAAUCAGUCCAUCCAUGUAAUAAUUAACCCAGUCUCUGUUUGAGUGAUCCCUCGGUAAAAGAGGAAAUGUACAGGUCCAUGUUGUGCAGGUUUGCACUCCGCCCAUGCUCAGCCCAUAUUUACACUUCAUUUACCACACCCACCAUUCAUCUCUUCCUGCUUUGAAUGAUGUAAACUACUCCCUGCAUUAAAGCCAUUGUUUAUUAGGAAGGUGGAGCUGGCAUCUUUUUUUAGAGAUGCCCUUUACAUUUGAUAGUCUUUCUAAAACAUGAGUUUUCUGGUGUAGUGGGUCACAUGUCUAAUUACACGUUAAACAGGUCCACUGUAGUUUCAUACAGGGGUCCAGAGGACAUCUUCUAGUUACUUCUGCUUUGCUACAAAUCAAUAAUGACACAAGAUUCAGGCGUUAACCUGAGUAUUUAUUGUUGCUGUUGUUUUUGAUGGGUACCUGUGUUUUCUGGAUGGAUUCUGGAAAACCCAUCCAUGGACUUUUGCAUAGGUCUGGCCUGUAAGUGGACGCCGAUCCACUUUGGGGAUGGAACAUUUGUAAGUCACAAAAACCAUGCAGAAAUAGUGAAAGGCACAAUCACCAUAGAUAUCAGAUACACCAUGUUUUAUAAAUCUACAUAUUUCAUUUUUUUUCUGGGGGUGUGCACUAAUAGAGAUGUAAUAUGGAUGAAACCCCGUGUUUUGCAGCUGCCAUCAUUUUAGGGCACAAGAAAAAAAGAAAGAAACUCCCCAGACAUUCACUGCCUUUCAAAAUGUCCUAUUAUUGAACAACUCUUCUAUUAACUAUAAGGGAAAAUACAAGCAUAUUCUACUGUAUUUUAUGAUACAUUUAAUUUUUUUUUGUAUAUAAACUGUCUGUCUCCUGCCUCGUAAUUCCUCUGUCCACUUCCCUUGCGUCAUUUAGGCUCCAAACAUUAAGUGACCAUUUCCACUCUCCAAUACUCGAUGACUUCAGCUUUUAAACCACAGCUGUCAAUAAUCACACACAAAGGAGAACACCUUUUUCAUUUUACAUGACACUGGUGAGAAAGCAAGCAUACGAAAACUGAGGAAAACAGAACAGGUUGGUGGAGACAGAACGAUCUGUGGGGCGAUAUUUACAUUUUUCACACACACAUCCACCUGAGAUCUCUCAUUACCCUGUGUUCAGUGUGUGUGUGUUUUCACUUGAACAGGUAAAUAAACAUCUACCUGCUGUAUGAGGCAUGAACGGAAUCCCCGGUGAUGUGGCCGAUCCUAAAUAUCAGAGAUCACUGUGUGUAUGUGUGUGAACUCAUGUGCACUCACCACCUCAGACCCGUCUCCUGCACCUCUCAGAGGAAUCAAAUAUAAACAUAAUAGUUUAUCUUUAAACAAACAAAGACACAUUCAAUUAUAAGUUAUCUCUCUAAGUUAUAUCUCGAAAAAAAUCAUUAAAGAAUAAUUGUUAGAAAUAAAACUAACUGUGGUAUAUGAUUCAAGGGUAAAUAACUGAUUGUAAAUGGUUUCAGUGAGACAAAUCAUCCAAAUCAAUCCUUUGUCCCGGACCACUGCACUGGACCCUCCAUUCAGCCGGUGCCGUGCUGAGGAGACCCUCUGGAGGGCAGUGUUUGCCUGUGCACACCAACUCUGGCUGCACUGCUGCUUCUACAGGCCAGAACCGGGCACCACUUAGAACCCUCUUGGUUGACAACGAACACACACGUGAGGCAGAUCAGUCCCAUUGGACACAACAAACAUCGUGGACUCAAGUCCUGAGAGGCUUUGACAUCUAACAAAGCAUAAUAAAUUGUUUUGCACUAUUUACAAGAGAAAUAAAUGACUCAUAUGCAUGUUUUUUAAAAGAAUCUCUACAAUUCAACUUGACAGUACACCUUCUCACGCAGAAUCAAUCAAAAGAAAGAAAGAAAAAAAUGAAAACCACAAAAGAAAAACAGGAGGGGGGAUUAAACCACACACACACACACAGCACGCUGCUAAAACUCACAAACUGUAUGACAGUGCAAACUUACAUCCAUGUCUCAAAUAAUUUACAAACAUUAGUAUAUACUUCAGCACCAUUUUGACUAUUGUUGUUGAAUAAAUAUCAAUAAUCUAGAUCUUUAAGUGGACGUGGAUGUGCUAACAAGACAGACAAGGAUGGAGUAGAUGUUAAAAGCAGUUCAUAGAAGCUUUUGAACAUGUUGCAGGUGGAUGGUUGCUGGGAUGUUUCACCCCGUUUCCUUUAACAGAAGCCUCCUGGGAGGUCAUUCAUUUCUAAAGAAAAGGGACCAACGUGGAAAUGAACAGAUCACAGCAGCCGUCGUGGAUGCUGGGCGCGUCGCUUAAGUUUACAGACACAUUUAGUUGUCGUCAUGCUGUGUAUUAUCACAGGAAGCGUGUGCUUUCUCUUUGUCUGACAGGAACCAGCUUUCUUUCCUUUCCCUGAACCACAGAGAGAGACAUUAAAAAUAGCAGAAAAUAGAGUAACAAAACAAAAUAAAGAGUUUCCAUCGAUACCGCUCUUCACUUACUGUAACCUACCGGACCCUGUAACCCAGAGGCAGGCGCUUUAAAUUUACAACCCUUCUCAUUAUGGACAGUAUCUCUGUUUUCAUCUUGAAAAAAAACCCCACCCAGAAAACAUUUGAUAUGCAAAGUAA
Molecule: long non-coding RNA, 3181 nt
Organism: Betta splendens (Siamese fighting fish)
Lineage: Eukaryota; Metazoa; Chordata; Actinopteri; Anabantiformes; Osphronemidae
Exons: 2
Source: RefSeq, a predicted model, not a curated record